AUAGUUAAAAUAUGCUUUAUUUGUACAGUUACGUAGCCAGUAACAUUACUGUUGAUUGCUUUGCUUGAUGUUUUUAAUUCUGAAGUGAUUUUUGCAAGCCAAGUUUCAGCACAUUGUCAUUAGCUUUUUGAGUAAAAGCUUUUUGGACGGAAUGUCUUUAUCUCUCUAGGAGGUGGGGUGAUUCAAUCGGAUUUUAAUCCAACCCUGAGCGCAUGUUUUCUCCCCUUUCCAGUAAAAUAGCAGGCGAGAUAAACUGAUGUUUGGCCUAACGUUAACGUUACCUGUUUUUUUUACACUGAACUUCUGGUAUAGUUUGAGUCUUUUGUUAAUAUUUUGACAUAUAUUCUCCACCUCCCCAUGUAAUGUUGUUUCAGAUAAUUUUCAUAUCAUAUUAAAUCUUAAAAUACUGCGCGCGCGUGUGUUCUGUUGUGUGUGUGUUAUUUUGCAGCUUACAGCUCAUUCAAGUGCCACUGGUCUUGCAGUAUUUCAUCUUUUCCAAACAACCGAGUAAAUUUACAGCUCAUUCAAGUGCCACUGGUCUGUUUUUGGAGAAUUUCAUCUUUAAGGUGCUGUGAGAAAGAGCCAUGUCUCCUGUGCCGCCACUGACAUUACAAAACACGUAAUACGGUGGUUCAACUUGGCAGCAGAUAGGGGAAACUCAAGGAGCCGUCCCACUGUCAGCACCCAACAGUAGCGUUUCGGUGUUUCACAGUUAACUUCUGUGUUUUGAAGUGUUCGUUUAACAGUUAAGUAGUAACAGUUGAGAUAAAGUUUACUACUUUAAAUAGUUUUGUUUCUAUUCAUCUUCAAAAAACCCAGUUUCCACACAAAAAAAUAAGAAGUGCAACAUUAAUAAGAAUAAAUGUUUCUUGAGCUACAUUAAAAAAGUGUUCUUUUUCAUUAAAUAAAAAAUGUUCUUUGGACAAUUUAUGGUUGCAUUUCAUUUUCUGUAAUACCUAUUAAUUGUAUACAUAAAUAAUUGUUACUGGCUAAAAUGGCUGAAUUUUGAUUUACAAGUUUUGAAUGAUUUCAUCAUGUUUUAUUAAUAAAGGCAGGCAUAUUAAAUAUUACAGAG
Long non-coding RNA from Triplophysa rosa, 1075 nucleotides. RefSeq lists it as uncharacterized. The transcript is spliced from 3 exons. The record is from RefSeq and is a predicted model, not a curated record. NCBI's taxonomy places the organism in Eukaryota, Metazoa, Chordata, Actinopteri, Cypriniformes, Nemacheilidae.